Molecule: ribosomal RNA, 433 nt
Filed under: uncultured bacterium
Lineage: Bacteria
Description: partial 16S ribosomal RNA
Rfam family: Bacterial small subunit ribosomal RNA
Source: RNAcentral
GGGGGGGGGGGGGGGGGGGGGGGGGGGGGGGGGGGGGGGGGCGGGGGGGGGGGGGGGGGGCGGGCGGGUGGGUGAGGCGUGGGGACGUGCCCUUUUCUACGGGAUAGCCUCGGGAAACUGAGGGUAAUCCCGUGUACGCCCUUUUGGGGAAAGAUUUCUCGGCAAAGGAUCGGCCCGCGUUGGAUUAGGUAGUUGGUGGGGUAAUGGCCUACCAAGCCGACGAUCCAUAGCUGGUUUGAGAGGAUGAUCAGCCCCACUGGGCCUGAGACACGGCCCAGACUCCUACGGGAGGCAGCAGUGGGGAAUCUUAGACAAUGGGGGCAACCCUGAUCGAGCCAUGCCGCGUGAGUGAUGAAGGCCUUAGGGUUGUAAAGCUCUUUCAGCUGGGAAGAUAAUGACGGUACCAGCAGAAGAAGCCCCGGCUAACUCCGUG